Non-coding RNA from Dothidotthia symphoricarpi CBS 119687, 137 nucleotides. The record is from the annotation of a RefSeq genome assembly. Lineage: Eukaryota; Fungi; Ascomycota; Dothideomycetes; Pleosporales; Dothidotthiaceae.
GGGCCGGUAACUCAGUGGUAGAGGUUAGUUCACCUAUAUCUUCACUCCACAACUCCGUCUAACAAAUACACAGUGUAGGACUGCAGCUCACCAAAGCCGUCUUCCCGAAGUCACCGGUUCGACUCCGGUUCGGCCCU